GCAUUGGUGGCUCAGUGGUAGAAUUUUCGCCUUCCAUGCGGGAGGCCUGGGUUCAAUUCCCAGCCAGUGUA
RNAcentral lists this transfer RNA (71 nucleotides) under Loxodonta africana (African savanna elephant). It matches the Rfam family "tRNA". Rfam says of the family: Transfer RNA (tRNA) molecules are approximately 80 nucleotides in length. Their secondary structure includes four short double-helical elements and three loops (D, anti-codon, and T loops). The record is from Rfam by way of RNAcentral. Lineage: Eukaryota; Metazoa; Chordata; Mammalia; Proboscidea; Elephantidae.